AGGAUAAACCCCGAUAGAUCAUAAUGCCUGGAACGGUUUAUGGUCCAAAUGAUUCGUCGCCGUAGGAUGGGACUGCGGCCUAUCAGCUUGUUGGUGAGGUAAUGGCCCACCAAGGCUAUUACAGGUACGGGCUCUGAGAGGAGAAGCCCGGAGAUGGGUACUGAGACACGGACCCAGGCCCUAUGGGGCGCAGCAGGCGAGAAACCUUUGCAAUGUGCGCAAGCACGACAAGGUUAAUCCGAGUGUUUCCUGCUAAAGGAAUCUUUUGUUAGUCCUAAAAACACUAGCGAAUAAGGGGUGGGCAAGUUCUGGUGUCAGCCGCCGCGGUAAAACCAGCACCUCAAGUGGUCAGGAGGAUUAUUGGGCCUAAAGCAUCCGUAGCCUGCUCUGUAAGUUUCCGGUUAAAUCCAUUAGCUCAACUGAUGGGCCGCCGGAAAAACUGCAGAGCUAGGGAGUGGGAGAGGUAGACGGUACUCGGUAGGAAGGGGUAAAAUCCUUUGAUCUAUUGAUGACCACCUGUGGCGAAGGCGGUCUACCAGAACACGUUCGACGGUGAGGGAUGAAAGCUGGGGGAGCAAACCGGAUUAGAUACCCGGGUAGUCCCAGCUGUAAACGAUGCAGACUCGGUGAUGCCCUGGCUUGCGGCCAGUGCAGUGCCGCAGGGAAGCCGUUAAGUUUGCCGCCUGGGAAGUACGUACGCAAGUAUGAAACUUAAAGGAAUUGGCGGGGGAGCACCACAAGGGGUGAAGCCUGCGGUUCAAUUGGAGUCAACGCCGGG
RNAcentral lists this ribosomal RNA (778 nucleotides) under uncultured archaeon. RNAcentral's name for it is "bacterial SSU rRNA". It matches the Rfam family "Archaeal small subunit ribosomal RNA", at positions 143 to 922 of the family's 1478-position model. The record is from RNAcentral.